This 491-nucleotide ribosomal RNA is filed under the name uncultured bacterium. RNAcentral's name for it is "partial 16S ribosomal RNA". It matches the Rfam family "Bacterial small subunit ribosomal RNA", at positions 29 to 507 of the family's 1533-position model. The record is from RNAcentral.
GUGAACGCUGGCGGUAGGCCUAACACAUGCCAGUCGAACGGCAGCACAGUAAGAGCUUGCUCUUACGGGUGGCGAGUGGCGGACGGGUGAGGAAUACAUCGGAAUCUACUUUUUCGUGGGGGAUAACGUAGGGAAACUUACGCUAAUACCGCAUACGACCUACGGGUGAAAGCAGGGGAUCUUCGGACCUUGCGCGAUUGAAUGAGCCGAUGUCGGAUUAGCUAGUUGGCGGGGUAAAGGCCCACCAAGGCGACGAUCCGUAGCUGGUCUGAGAGGAUGAUCAGCCACACUGGAACUGAGACACGGUCCAGACUCCUACGGGAGGCAGCAGUGGGGAAUAUUGGACAAUGGGCGCAAGCCUGAUCCAGCCAUACCGCGUGGGUGAAGAAGGCCUUCGGGUUGUAAAGCCCUUUUGUCGGGAAAGAAAAGCAGCAGGUUAAUACCCCGCUGUUCUGACGGUACCCAAAGAAUAAGCACCGGCUAACUUCGUG